AUUAGAUCCGAGUUCGCGAACCGCCAAGAGUCAGCCGUGUCCGUGCUACGGGCAGCAACAGGCAAAAGGGAUAGAUUUACAAAUGUAAAAUAUGGCCACAAAAAAGAAAUGAACCAAGUUGAGGUUUAUAUGUUUCACGAACGGCAAGCAUUAUGUGGCCAAGAUAAAAGGGGCUGCGGACAACCAACAACAAUGUGAGACGCGGCACAAAAGUACACAAAUUGGAAAUUUAUUUAAAUUUUAUGCCCCGCUACAACAAGUAGGAAUCGCCGCACAAAGCUCGAGCACACGUUGACCAUGAAAUACGCAGCAGGAGCAGCAGCAACAGCAGCCGUGGGAGCGGGUGUUUGGCUGGCAGCUCGAGUCGACAUCGUCGCCGUUGGCAACACUGUGGCAACUGCUAACGACUCGCCCUCGCAGUUGCCACAAACACAGAUAGGAAGCGGAACAAAGUGCGCGAGCGAGACGGCGUCUGCUGUGUGCAACAGCCACUGCGGCAAACUAAUGAAAAGCCAUAAAAGCCAAACAAGUGGCACACUACAUUUUAUGGCAUUGCGCGCAGUUCAAUGCCGCCGGGUUCGGUGAAAGUCGCCGCAGAUUCGAAGGCACUAAAGCGCCACUUAGCACUAAAGCGAGCAGGACUCAACCUCAAAAGCAGCAGAAGAUAAAAAAAUUGGAAAACAACACGUAAUUACAAGAGCUUUCCUGCCCGCUGAUGACCCGCAAUCUGGAAGCUGUGGGCCCCUUUGAUUCUAACGUAAAUUCGAAAAUAUUUAUUUUAAAAAAUAAAAAAACAA
This is a long non-coding RNA of Drosophila novamexicana, 797 nucleotides long. RefSeq lists it as uncharacterized. The transcript is spliced from 3 exons. Lineage: Eukaryota; Metazoa; Arthropoda; Insecta; Diptera; Drosophilidae. The record is from RefSeq and is a predicted model, not a curated record.